Long non-coding RNA from Macaca mulatta (Rhesus monkey), 6270 nucleotides. NCBI's taxonomy places the organism in Eukaryota, Metazoa, Chordata, Mammalia, Primates, Cercopithecidae. The record is from Ensembl.
GCCCAGGCUUCCACGGGGUCUAGCGGUCUCAAGCCUGCGGCUCUCCCUGGUGGAUUCCCGCAGGAGUGAAUGGCAGCACCGGAAGCCAAGGCCCCUCCCCACCAAGACACCAGCAGCUGAUCCCCACCUUCCCAACCAAAGCCACGAAGCAGAGGCCGAGCCGAGCCAAGGUCAGGGCCUGGGGCCACGGUGGAUUUCCUCCCAUGGGAACGUCCUUAACAUCCGCAGCUCGGGCCUGAGGGUCUGCCACCGGACCCAGCAGCUGCCACAGGUGUCCUGGCUCAGGGCUGGGGCUGUCUGCAACUCCCCUCUCCCCUGAGCCCUCUGAGUGGGGUUCCCCAAGCUCCGAGGGGCUCCCGCCACACCUGGGCUUCCUGGGGGCUCUUUGUAGACAGUGAUUGAUCUCCCAUUGGCUCCAGUUUCGUGGCUGUGUUUCUGCCCCUCCCUCCACACUCCCUGCCUCUCUGCUGAGUAGCUAAUUCACUCUAAGCACGCUCCAGAGGAAGGCUCCAGCCUCGCAGUGGAACUGCAGCCAUGCAUGAGAAUGAUCCGGCACCCAGGUCUGCCUCCACGUCCCGCUGAUGGCCCAGAGACCGUGCGGCGGGAAGGCUGGCAGCGAGCUGAGGGUUGGAACUCUGGCUGCGCCCCUGCUGCCAGGGGACCUCAGGCAAGUCAUCUUUUUCUCUGAGCCUUAGUUUCCUCAGCUGUGGGGACGGUUCCAGCCCUGAGUCACUGGGCUGUUGUGAGGAUGGAGAUGAGGUCGUGCAGGCUCCUGGGUCCAGCAGUCAUUCUUCUGCACUCUCAGGGGAGCCCUUGCCAGCAUCUGAGGGUCACGGUUCAGUGGCUUCAGGGUCCGGACAGGGCCGGAGGCCAGGCCCAAUAUGGUGCAGCUAGGGGAGAGGGCAGGCCCUGGGGGCCGUGGGCCAUCGGCUCACAGCCACAUCAGGGGCCAGGAAUCCCACUCAGGGCUCAGCCCUAGGCUCCCCCCAGCACCCCCUCCCAAUCCAGAGGACACUUCCAGCCCUGAGCAGUGGGCUCUGGGCAAGCGACUGGAGAGGGAGUGCAUCUCGGCUCUUUGUGAGGAAUUAUGUCCUGACAGGUCACUGGCACAGAAAAGCCCUUUGUCCCAGCCAGCUGGCUGCCUAAUGAUGUCCAGCCUGCACCCUUCCAAGGCCACCUCUGAGUCCAGAAAGGAUGGAGCUGGCUCCUGCCUGGGAGGCACAAGGGCCACAGUUUCGCUGGGGUCGGGGUGGGGAGGGUGGGUGAAGGCUCCGAACACCUCUGCACGUUGCCCCGGAGCUGCGGACGGAGCUCAGGUAGCCGCCAAGACUUGCUGUAGAUCCGGUGACCCCUCCAAGGAGAGUGCUGAGUCCUGGAAAAUUCUCUUCCUCCUCCUCCACCUCCCUGUCACCUUACCCUCUCCUGUGUUCCCCAACCAGGACCCCAGUAAAGAGGAGACCCCUGCCGUUGUGGAUGUGGCUUUCCCCAGUGCCCACGAGACCCCUGGGGCCUGGCCCCUCUGGGCCCAUAGAAGCUCCCAUGAGAUUCUGAUGCAUGGGAGCCCAGAGCCAGGACUGGGUGAAGGUGCCUUUGGGAGGAGGCAGAGAAGUGUAUCGAUUGGGACCCAGAUGGACAGGUCCCUGUGAGCCGGCACAGGUCCUUGGUGGGUGAGUGCCAGGUUGCCCUCACGGGGACUUUGCACUCUGAGCAGGAGGGACAGCUCAGGUCCCGCCCGCCUUGGGUUUCUGGGCAUAGCUUUGGAGGGCAGGGGUCGUUUGCAGCACGGAGCCCUUGUCAGCUUCCAGCGUGUUCUAACAUUUGUCAUACCAGAUGGAUUGUCGCCAGCGUCUGGGGUGACAUUAUUAUUCUGUUACUCCCAUGAUGACAGAGCCAAGGGCUGGGGAGAGGGACCCAGUUCAGCCUGACCAAGCCCAGGGCCCUUCUCCUUCCUCCACCAUCACAGCUUCUUGACACCCCAUUCCCCAAACCCAGGACCCCAAUGCCCAGGGACUCGGGCUGCCCCCCCCCCCAAGCCCCAGGAGAAGAGCCCUGUCCUCCCCAGCCGUGCCAGAGGGUUCUGUCAACUAGCGCUGCUUCCUUAUCAACAAGGACAUGUCUACAAAUAGCUCAUCACGUCUCCAAUCCAGAAGUGCUGUGUCGUUUCAAAAAUGAGCAGAGCCAAUGCAGCCGCCAGCCCAGCCGUGGCUACCUGGGCAAGGCUGCUGGUUCAUGAAUAUUCACGGCUCCGAUGGCUCCGCGAGCCUCCUCACCAUCCGGAAUUAAACCAACGAGCUUCCCCUCACAGGCUGCACUCACUGACUUUCAGCUCCUCUCCAAAUCGUUCUCUUCCUCGCAGCAGAUGGGGAUGUGGGGCGGCCUCGACCCUCCUGUGUGCCUGGGCUGUUGUGGCACCAGCACCUUUGCCCCAGUUCCCCAUCUCUUAGGCGCUUGACACGUGUCUGCCCCGUUCUCAGGAAGGCCUGGACCCCGUCCCAGCCCUGGUGGGGAUAAUUACCCCGAUGUUCGUUUGCAGCGUUUAAUUUGCUUCCUCCGCGCUGGAAGCCCACGUUUGGCGAUGUGUGUGUUAGGAUGGCCACGUGUCCUUCCCCCAUCAGCGACAGGAUCUGGGGAGGCCAGGGAGGCUCCUCAUUACGCUCCCAGCACCAAGCCCAAUCACAGACGUUGCACAUGGAGGCACCAGACCCUGCCUGUGGGGAGAGUGGCUGCCAGCUGGGGCACCCGGACGUCCCUGCGUGCCCUGUGCUGGCACAAGGCAGCUCUUCUGUGCUUCCGUGGUGCCUGCGGUGAGGCUGCCCGGGACGCCCCCUGUAGAUGCUGCCUCCAGGGUCUGCUCCAAGGAAUGGGGAGAACGGGCUUGUGGUGCUGGGGCCUUGUGUGAGGCGGGAUGCUACAGACUGGAAGGGUGGGUGGCCUGGAGCUGCUCUGUCUCCAAGCACUGACCGCAGCCCGCGCCUCUGCGUAGGUCCAGGAGAAGUGUGGCAGGGCUGGGUGCCACCACCUGUGAGCCCCUGAACCUCCCCAGGCUGCCAGAUCUCACUUCAGAGUGGCCCUGGGCUGCGACGGAGGGGCCUGGGCGUGGCCUCAGGUCAGUUCAGGUGAAGACUCUAUUCCUGGCUCAGGAAAGCCACCAGGACAGGUGAGCCCAGCGGCACCUCACGGAGUGAGGCUUUGAGUCCCGUGUGAACAAGGACAGGACACCGGGGCUGCCACAGGUCACAGAGACCCUGCGUCGAUACCUGCGUUUUGAGGUGCGGAGACCAAAGUUGAGACCUGGCCACGAAGCAGGUCUGCAGGGACCUCAGAGCCCGGGGCCACUGUGCUGUCCCCAGUCCCAUUAAACGCCCAGGGCCACUGUGCUGUCCCCAGUCUCAUUAAAUGCAGUAAACGUCUUCUGGGCAUGCCGCCAGCCCCACAGAAAACCAAAGCAAAGCAGACUCACAGCUCCCACAUCCCGGAGCUCAGGUCCAGGAGGGUCUCUGGAAAGGACGGGGCAACUGGAAUACUGUCCUAGUCCCGUCUCGGCCCCAGGGCACCGCAGGGGUCUCUCUUGCAGGUGUGUGGUUGGUUUUAGAAGAUGCUGAGCCCCUCCCUGCGCACUCGUCCCCACCUGCCUGGCCCUGGCACACCUGGCUGCUUCUCAUUCGGGCCUUGAAUGAAAGGCCCCCUUCCCCAGAGUCCUCCCUGACUCCCCUCUCACAGGAAGGGUAUCUCCUGUUCCCCGCGAUGGAGAGUGUUGGUCAACUCUCUCUCCCCAGCCACCUGCGGGGCCCAGGAGGGCUGCACCUGCCUUGGCCAUCCCAGACCCACCACCCAGGGCAGACCCUCCACCCAGGGCAGAGCCUCGGACAUGGUUGAAGGCAGGAAGGGCUGAAGAUGAGGGUGGGUGGUGAGAAAAGGCCUCUGGACGGCAGGGACUUAGACAUGGUUCCAAGUAUGCACGAGGGGAACAGCUGGGGGCCGUGGGCCCCUGCAGGCCUGAUAGAGGAACCCACGGGACUGACUUUUCCUACAGAAAAUCCUGCGCAGGGAGAUCAAAUCCUGGCAUCCCAGAGGAAAGGCCCGUGCCGGCCGUGAGCUGCCCACAGCUGCCUGACCCCAGUCUUCUCCAAUGAAGUGGCUCUGAGAGGUUUUGUGGUCAGUAUCAUUUCUGUGUUUGAUUUUAGCGCCUGGUCUGGACGGCAAGCAGGAAGAGCUCAGAGCUUCCUCCAGUGUCUCGGGGUGCAGCCGGGAGGAGCUGCCUCGCCCCUGCCUCUGCCUCUGGCUCCUUGCCCCACCGCCUGGCUCUCACCUGCAGCCUGAGAGGAGUCCAGGCCUGGGCUCUUGAGUCUCUCUCUGGCCCACGGGAGGGGCACACCCGGGUCCUGUUCAGAGACGCAGGCUGUCGCCCCUGCUCCUGCUGGAACGUGCAACCCAGAGGCCCUACAAGCACCUCAUGCUGCCUCCCUCUUUGUGAUCCCCCAGCCCAGCCCUCAGUUAACUGAGUCCCUGCCUGGUAAACGUGCAGCAACAUGGCCACAGCAGGCUCUGCCCAACAACGGCCACAGCAGGCUGGACACAGCAGGCUCGGUCCAGCCUGGGCGCCUCCCCGGGUUCUGGUGCUCAGGCAGUUUCCUUCACCUACGUAAGCCCCGACUUUCUCAUCCGUAGAGUGGGACAAACGACGCCCAGUGCUCAGCGUGAUAUCAGAAAAGCCCAAGACAGUGGAGGGCUCAGCACAGAAGACCCAUCCAUCCGCAGAAUCGCACCGAGAGCAGCUCCUUCAAGGGAGCCCGGGACGCCCCGGGGAAGCCACGCUUAGUGACUGGCCCCAGCCGAGGGCCGAACGGGCCAGGGGCUCGGCCGGGGGAACCCCAGGGCUGAACGGGCCGGGGGCUCGGCUGGGGAACCCCAGGGCUGAACGGGCCGUGCUGGACUGAGGGACACUGCCGGGGGCUCGGCCAGGGAGAACCCCAGGGCUGAAGGUCAAGGCCACUGCAAGGCCCCGGGCUCAGGGGAGAGUGGGGACACAGGACCCAUCCUCCUCAUCUCAGGCUGGUCCUUUUCCCUCCCAUGUGGGGGCACCAUUGCCAGGCCAAUGCCAGUCACUCUGUGAUGACCAGGUUGGAGAAAAGCUGAGAACCCCAAGUACUGGGCAAAUCCAGAGUCUCGUGUCUUCAAACCAGAGGACGUUAAAAGCUAGGUCAAGAGGUUGGCUUCUUCCACGAGUCCCCACCCUGGGCAUUGCCUGGAAGUGAGGGGCCGAUGGAUUGUCAGGCCACAUACCUGAGGGGAAGGGAGCGGUCGGGGCAAUGCCCUGGGCAGGGCGCUGGCUCGGGAUGGAGGGAGGAGGGUCUCAGAUGGCAGGCUUAGGCAGACAGCUCACUCAUCCCUGCCUCCAGCGCCCUCGGCCCCUCCACAUCAAACUUCCGGUUAAUGAAACUCCUCCACGCUGGGAGGUGGAGGCCGGGGAAACCGCUAAUUAAGGUUGCUGCACUUUGGCUUCCGGCUUAGUUAGCUGCAACACCCCCAGUGCCCACAGGGGUCCUUUUCUGUCUCCCACAGAGAUGCCCAGGAGGCUAAGCCCAGGCAGUCACCAUGGGUGGGUCCUGUGUCUCCUGCGGGCUCCAGAGGCAUGGGCGGCGUUCCACCUCCAGCCGGCCUGAUGGGGCAGAGACACUUCCCCUCAAAGAGAUGCACGGUUUUAAUAGGCUCUCUGUGCCCAAGCUGAGCUGGCUGGAUGCAACCUCUAGGGAGGAGGUGGGCAGGUGGGAGGCAGUCAGGGCCCCCCCUACUCCCUGCGCCCCUGGAGACAGCUCCCAGGCUCCCCCACUCCCUGCGCCCCUAGAGACAGUGCCCAGCCUCUCACCAGAGGUGCCAUCUCAGCAGCACAUGACAAAGGCAUAAGGUUACGGCUUCCCUGGCCCCCAGAAUGCGUCCCAGGGUUGGGCAGGGCUCACCCUCACCAAGGUUUAGGACAUACCUGGUGUCCACUCUGGAGUCAGCUGACCUGGCCCAGCCCCGAGGUCUCUCUUCCACCUGUCUGCUCCAGGACAGUCGCAAGCCGCUGUGUUGGGUGGCGUUUCUAACCUUGUUCUAUCCACAGAACUCGUCUUCAAAAGAAAGUUUACAUGACAGAACUGUUUAGAAGAAGGAAAAAGCAGAGAGGCCUUAGCUGAGGUUUUGGUGGUGCCGAGUCAGAUCCACCGGCCUGAACUCCAUCAGCCCUGCACCCCACCACCCCUGUACCCCACCACCCCUGCACCCCACCAC